This 477-nucleotide ribosomal RNA is filed under the name uncultured bacterium. RNAcentral describes it as "bacterial SSU rRNA". It matches the Rfam family "Bacterial small subunit ribosomal RNA", at positions 501 to 981 of the family's 1533-position model. The record is from RNAcentral.
CUACGUGCCAGCAGCCGCGGUAAUACGGAAGGUUCGGGCGUUAUCCGGAUUUAUUGGGUUUAAAGGGAGCGUAGGCCGGAGAUUAAGUGUGUUGUGAAAUGUAGACGCUCAACGUCUGACUUGCAGCGCAUACUGGUUUCCUUGAGUACGCACAACGUUGGCGGAAUUCGUCGUGUAGCGGUGAAAUGCUUAGAUAUGACGAAGAACUCCGAUUGCGAAGGCAGCUGACGGGAGCGCAACUGACGCUGAAGCUCGAAGGUGCGGGUAUCGAACAGGAUUAGAUACCCUGGUAGUCCGCACAGUAAACGAUGGAUGCCCGCUGUUGGUACCUGGUAUCAGCGGCUAAGCGAAAGCAUUAAGCAUCCCACCUGGGGAGUACGCCGGCAACGGUGAAACUCAAAGGAAUUGACGGGGGCCCGCACAAGCGGAGGAACAUGUGGUUUAAUUCGAUGAUACGCGAGGAACCUUACCCGGGCU